Molecule: long non-coding RNA, 1085 nt
Filed under: Piliocolobus tephrosceles (Ugandan red Colobus)
Lineage: Eukaryota; Metazoa; Chordata; Mammalia; Primates; Cercopithecidae
Description: lncRNA (ENSPTEG00000002020.1)
Source: RNAcentral
UAAUUAUGUAUAUAUAUAUUUCUCUUUUUUUUUGUAGAUUGUGCAAAGCUAAAUGCCCAGAUGGGCGAAUUGACUGCACAGAAGGUGGAAAAUGAGAUACUUCUUGAGGUAAUACGAGCGCAAACUGUUACCAAAUGAUGGAUAUCUGUGUAUGUAAAUAUGUAUGUACAUAUGUAUACAUAAGCAUCUUUUUUUUAAUAGGAAGUUAAAACUUUAGAAGACGAUGCUGUUUUACAUAAACUAGUUGGUUUAGUCUUGGUAAAAGAAGAAAAGAGUAAAUGCUAUGACACUAUAACGAGAAGAAUACACUACAUACGUGGGGAAAUGUAAAUUGAAAAAUAAAAACACGUAAAUUUGAGUUUGCAUAAAAAAAAGUAUACACAUAUGCAUGCUUAUACAUAUAUAUAUAUAUUUAUAACUUGUGUAAGAAUAUAAUUUUUUCUUUCCAUAUACUUUAUUAUAAAUUGUAACAAUACAUAAAUAACUAUUGAUUUAUAGGGAAAGCAGAAAAAAAGUCAUUAAAAACUUGGAGGAGAAACUAAAAAAGUUGUUCGCGGAUUUGGAGGUACACACCAAUAAAAAAAAAAUUGCAAUUCCACAANNNNNNNNNNAAAAAUAUACAAGUUCGAAAUAAUUAUGUAUAUAUAUAUUUCUCUUUUUUUUUGUAGAUUGUGCAAAGCUAAAUGCCCAGAUGGGCGAAUUGACUGCACAGAAGGUGGAAAAUGAGAUACUUCUUGAGGAAGUUAAAACUUUAGAAGACGAUGCUGUUUUACAUAAACUAGUUGGUUUAGUCUUGGUAAAAGAAGAAAAGAGUAAAUGCUAUGACACUAUAACGAGAAGAAUACACUACAUACGUGGGGAAAUGGAAAGCAGAAAAAAAGUCAUUAAAAACUUGGAGGAGAAACUAAAAAAGUUGUUCGCGGAUGUAAUAUAAUAUAUAUAUAUAUAUAAGACAGUUAUAUUUAUCCUAUAUAGUCAUAUAUGUUUUCUUUUUGACAUAUUAUAAGAUUUACCCAACUUUUGUUUUAAUAUAUCUUUUUUUUUUCUUUCUUUUUCUUUACAGUUGGAGGUACACACCAAUAAAA